CAUUGAGUGAGGACGCUUUUCGCGGACUUUCGUCGUAAGAAAAAAAGCAAGGUCCUGCGUACAUAUUAAUAUCGAGAGUGCCGAUUUAAACGUCGUGUCGUUAUCGCAAAGUGUUGAAUAAUAUCGAAACGCGAUUUAAUCGGACAUCGGGAAUGUUAGAUCUUGAUGACGAAUGUCGAAAUAAUCCGGCGGCGACAAGCAUAUAAAUCUGCAUAUCGGAACGUGUCGCGAGUGUUAAUCAAAUGCUCCCGAGGAAUAUCGUUUUUCGAAAUCAGCCCAAAUCAUCGAACAGAUCAUCGAGAGAUCUUCAUGGUGUUAAUUAAGAAAUGAUAUUUUCAUCCACUUGGCUCUUACUCACGGAAUAAGUCUCUGACGCGCCGAGCACCCUGACCAACUAAGAUUUCGUCAAAUUCAGGACCUGCCACAUGGAAGAACGGUACACCAGCUUCUCCAGCGACUGCGCGUGCUAAC
Molecule: long non-coding RNA, 471 nt
Organism: Cataglyphis hispanica
Lineage: Eukaryota; Metazoa; Arthropoda; Insecta; Hymenoptera; Formicidae
Exons: 3
Source: RefSeq, a predicted model, not a curated record